AUAAACACAUAAAAAGUGUCGUUAAAGUCGCACAAAAUGAGUCCAACAACCAAAUUAAAAUAAGAUUAUAGAAUUCUUUAUUGGGCAUAGAGUCUUUCCCUAUUAGGAUCAAACCAGAGACCUUAUAAAACAGAAACUUACCACACCAAUGAGGGGAGUCUGCACUUUUUCUUCUUUCUGAAGAGUCCUUGAUGGAAAAUGUUCCCUUCAUAUCUACAUAAUUCACCUUCAUAUACAUAUUCCAUAAUCCAAAUAAACGUUAUGAAUCCGCAUCCUUCCCGUUCACCCCUUGUCUAACGAAUUGCCCACGAACCCGAGGUCUCUGUUCUGCCAGCUUCUUCCUGCUCUGGCAUAUGAAAGAUACCUUUUUUUCAAAGCAUCUUUUUUUCUUCUUUUGGCGGAAUUUAUUAAGGGCGGCUUCUCUCUGAGCUAAUCGGUCUUGAUCAACACCACUCGCGCUUCCACUUCCACUUAAAUUUCCCGUUUUACCCUUCUCAGCAACUCCAUUAUCACCUCCUUCAGCUAUGACCUUUUCGCCACAACUGCCAUUUUCGCCAUUACUCUUAUUGUUACUUCCACCCGAUCCACUUCCAUAAUUAGCAGCAUUUCCUUCAGCCUGUGUAGCCGAUUCUUGCUGCUGUUGUGUCUCAUGGACAUGAUGGUGGUGAUGGAGGUGGUAGUGGUGGUAAUGGUGGCGGACUUGAAACUGUGAUGCUGCCUUGUCACCGUCACAAAGACCGGGAACAAUUGCUUUGUCAUCCAAUGCUUUGUUGGUGCUCGAGCCCAUAUCGUUGUUCUGAGUGCUACUACCGUUAGAUCCUAGAUUCGGGGCUCCGUUUGAGUUAGAUUGUAUGUUUGCAGCUGCCUACGUUUGCGGUUGGAGCUUGAUUGGCAUUGGAUGUCGUGUUAUACCUGUAUGGAAACGGGGAUUAGAAUAA
RNAcentral lists this long non-coding RNA (938 nucleotides) under Helianthus annuus (common sunflower). RNAcentral describes it as "hypothetical non coding rna". Lineage: Eukaryota; Viridiplantae; Streptophyta; Magnoliopsida; Asterales; Asteraceae. The record is from RNAcentral.